GGUUAAGCGACUAAGCGUACACGGUGGAUGCCCUGGCAGUCAGAGGCGAUGAAGGACGUGCUAAUCUGCGAAAAGCGUCGGUAAGGUGAUAUGAACCGUUAUAACCGGCGAUGUCCGAAUGGGGAAACCCAGUGCAAUUCGUUGCACUAUCGUUAACUGAAUACAUAGGUUAACGAGGCGAACCGGGGGAACUGAAACAUCUAAGUACCCCGAGGAAAAGAAAUCAACCGAGAUUCCCCCAGUAGCGGCGAGCGAACGGGGAGCAGCCCAGAGUCUGAAUCAGCUUGUGUGUUAGUGGAACGGUCUGGAAAGUCCGACGGUACAGGGUGAUAGUCCCGUACACCAAAAUGCACAGGUUGUGAACUCGAAGAGUAGGGCGGGACACGUGGUAUCCUGUCUGAAUAUGGGGGGACCAUCCUCCAAGGCUAAAUACUCCUGACUGACCGAUAGUGAACCAGUACCGUGAGGGAAAGGCGAAAAGAACCCCGGCGAGGGGAGUGAAAAAGAACCUGAAACCGUGUACGUACAAGCAGUGGGAGCACCUUCGGGUGUGACUGCGUACCUUUUGUAUAAUGGGUCAGCGACUUAUAUUCUGUAGCAAGGUUAACCGUAUAGGGGAGCCGCAGGGAAACCGAGUCUUAACUGGGCGUUAAGUUGCAGGGUAUAGACCCGAAACCCGGUGAUCUAGCCAUGGGCAGGUUGAAGGUUGGGUAACACUAACUGGAGGACCGAACCGACUAAUGUUGAAAAAUUAGCGGAUGACUUGUGGCUGGGGGUGAAAGGCCAAUCAAACCGGGAGAUAGCUGGUUCUCCCCGAAAGCUAUUUAGGUAGCGCCUCGUGAACUCAUCUUCGGGGGUAGAGCACUGUUUCGGCUAGGGGGUCAUCCCGACUUACCAACCCGAUGCAAACUACGAAUACCGAAGAAUGUUAUCACGGGAGACACACGGCGGGUGCUAACGUCCGUCGUGAAGAGGGAAACAACCCAGACCGCCAGCUAAGGUCCCAAAGUCAUGGUUAAGUGGGAAACGAUGUGGGAAGGCACAGACAGCCAGGAUGUUGGCUUAGAAGCAGCCAUCAUUUAAAGAAAGCGUAAUAACUCACUGGUCGAGUCGGCCUGCGCGGAAGAUGUAACGGGGCUAAACCAUGCACCGAAGCUGCGGCAGCGACACUAUGUGUUGUUGGGUAGGGGAGCGUUCUGUAAGCCUGCGAAGGUGUGCUGUGAGGCAUGCUGGAGGUAUCAGAAGUGCGAAUGCUGACAUAAGUAACGAUAAAGCGGGUGAAAAGCCCGCUCGCCGGAAGACCAAGGGUUCCUGUCCAACGUUAAUCGGGGCAGGGUGAGUCGACCCCUAAGGCGAGGCCGAAAGGCGUAGUCGAUGGGAAACAGGUUAAUAUUCCUGUACUUGGUGUUACUGCGAAGGGGGGACGGAGAAGGCUAUGUUAGCCGGGCGACGGUUGUCCCGGUUUAAGCAUGUAGGCUGAUUGUCCAGGCAAAUCCGGAUAAUCAAGGCUGAGGUGUGAUGACGAGGCACUACGGUGCUGAAGUAACAAAUGCCCUGCUUCCAGGAAAAGCCUCUAAGCAUCAGGUAACAUUAAAUCGUACCCCAAACCGACACAGGUGGUCAGGUAGAGAAUACCAAGGCGCUUGAGAGAACUCGGGUGAAGGAACUAGGCAAAAUGGUGCCGUAACUUCGGGAGAAGGCACGCUGGUGUGUAGGUGAAGUCCCUGCGGAUGGAGCUGAGACCAGUCGAAGAUACCAGCUGGCUGCAACUGUUUAUUAAAAACACAGCACUGUGCAAACACGAAAGUGGACGUAUACGGUGUGACGCCUGCCCGGUGCCGGAAGGUUAAUUGAUGGGGUUAUCCGUAAGGAGAAGCUCUUGAUCGAAGCCCCGGUAAACGGCGGCCGUAACUAUAACGGUCCUAAGGUAGCGAAAUUCCUUGUCGGGUAAGUUCCGACCUGCACGAAUGGCGUAAUGAUGGCCAGGCUGUCUCCACCCGAGACUCAGUGAAAUUGAACUCGCUGUGAAGAUGCAGUGUACCCGCGGCAAGACGGAAAGACCCCGUGAACCUUUACUAUAGCUUGACACUGAACAUUGAGCCUUGAUGUGUAGGAUAGGUGGGAGGCUUUGAAGCGUGGACGCCAGUCUGCGUGGAGCCAACCUUGAAAUACCACCCUUUAAUGUUUGAUGUUCUAACGUUGGCCCCUGACCGGGGUUGCGGACAGUGUCUGGUGGGUAGUUUGACUGGGGCGGUCUCCUCCCAAAGCGUAACGGAGGAGCACGAAGGUUAGCUAAUCCUGGUCGGACAUCAGGAGGUUAGUGCAAUGGCAUAAGCUAGCUUGACUGCGAGCGUGACGGCGCGAGCAGGUGCGAAAGCAGGUCAUAGUGAUCCGGUGGUUCUGAAUGGAAGGGCCAUCGCUCAACGGAUAAAAGGUACUCCGGGGAUAACAGGCUGAUACCGCCCAAGAGUUCAUAUCGACGGCGGUGUUUGGCACCUCGAUGUCGGCUCAUCACAUCCUGGGGCUGAAGUAGGUCCCAAGGGUAUGGCUGUUCGCCAUUUAAAGUGGUACGCGAGCUGGGUUUAGAACGUCGUGAGACAGUUCGGUCCCUAUCUGCCGUGGGCGCUGGAGAAUUGAGGGGGGCUGCUCCUAGUACGAGAGGACCGGAGUGGACGCAUCACUGGUGUUCGGGUUGUCAUGCCAAUGGCACUGCCCGGUAGCUAAAUGCGGAAGAGAUAAGUGCUGAAAGCAUCUAAGCACGAAACUUGCCCCGAGAUGAGUUCUCCCUGAGACUUUAAGUCUCCUGAAGGAACGUUAAAGACGAUGACGUUGAUAGGCCGGGUGUGUAAGCGCAGCGAUGCGUUGAGCUAACCGGUACUAAUGAACCGUGAGGCUUAACCUU
This 2902-nucleotide ribosomal RNA is filed under the name Klebsiella pneumoniae. Its description in RNAcentral is "23S ribosomal RNA". It matches the Rfam family "Bacterial large subunit ribosomal RNA". Lineage: Bacteria; Pseudomonadati; Pseudomonadota; Gammaproteobacteria; Enterobacterales; Enterobacteriaceae. The record is from RNAcentral.